UACAGAGGCCCCAAGCGUUACUGAGAAUCACUGGGUUUAAAGGGUGCGUAGGUGGCGCGUUAAGUCCGUUGUGAAAUCCCUUGGCUCAACCAAGGAAUGGCUUCGGAUACUGGCGUGCUUGAGGCCGGUAAGGGUCACUGGAACUGACGGUGGAGCGGUGAAAUGCGUAGAUAUCGUCAGGAACGCCAAUGGUGAAGACAGGUGACUGGGCCGGUACUGACACUGAGGCACGAAAGCGUGGGGAGCGAACGGG
This 253-nucleotide ribosomal RNA is filed under the name uncultured bacterium. RNAcentral describes it as "partial 16S ribosomal RNA". It matches the Rfam family "Bacterial small subunit ribosomal RNA", at positions 524 to 776 of the family's 1533-position model. The record is from RNAcentral.